CGAGAAAUAAGAAAGUAUAAGCGGGUUUAGCUAAAAAACUUAGCAUCUUUUGUUCAUCUGAAUGCCUUUUCGCUCUUUAAACUACCGUGGAAAACCCUAAUCUCUAGAUUUAAAAUUUGGAAUGUACUUGUUUAUAGUUGAAACAGCUACGUAUCUUUGAUUUCAAUAUUUGCCUUUUAAGAUUAUUGCUUAAAAGAAUUGUUUAGAGCGAACUCGAUUUUGCAUUCUCCAAAACAAAAUGAACUGCAUAUAAUACCGCGGUACCGAGGCAACAACUUCUACUUCAUAUAAGUUCUAAGAGUUAGUCAAAAUGUAAUGCUGAUUGCAAGUUCACAUGACUAAUUUAGACGGCUUGAGAUAUUUACUUAAAUAAACAAAAAUUUAU
This is a non-coding RNA of Schizosaccharomyces pombe (fission yeast), 385 nucleotides long. Lineage: Eukaryota; Fungi; Ascomycota; Schizosaccharomycetes; Schizosaccharomycetales; Schizosaccharomycetaceae. The record is from the annotation of a GenBank genome assembly.